ACGGGUGAGUAACACGUGAACAACCUACCCUUAAGUGGGGAAUAACACCGCGAAAGCGGUGCUAAUACCGCAUAAUAUCUUUGAGUCGCAUGACGAGAAGAUCAAAGUAGCGAUAUGCUUGAGGAGGGGUUCGCGGCUGAUUAGCUAGUAGGUGAGGUAACGGCCCACCUAGGCAACGAUCAGUAGCCGGCCUGAGAGGGCGAACGGCCACACUGGAACUGAGACACGGUCCAAACUCCUACGGGAGGCAGCAGUGGGGAAUUUUGCGCAAUGGGCGAAAGCCUGACGCAGCAACGCCGCGUGGAGGAUGAAGGUCUUCGGAUCGUAAACUCCUGUCGAUGGGGACGAAAGCCGAAAGGCGUGACUGUACCCGUUGAGGAAGCCACGGCUAACUCCGUGCCAGCAGCCGCGGUAAUACGGAGGUGGCAAGCGUUGUUCGGAAUUAUUGGGCGUAAAGGGCGCGUAGGCGGCUUUACAAGUCAGAUGUGAAAGCCCCGAGCUUAACUCGGGAAUUGCAUCUGAUACUGUAGAGCUUGAGUUCUGGAGGGGGUAGUGGAAUUCCCAGU
This 566-nucleotide ribosomal RNA is filed under the name uncultured bacterium. RNAcentral describes it as "bacterial SSU rRNA". It matches the Rfam family "Bacterial small subunit ribosomal RNA", at positions 102 to 674 of the family's 1533-position model. The record is from RNAcentral.